GUGCUUGUUUUGGAAGCAUAUAUACUAAAAUUGGAAUGAUACUGAGAAGAUUAGUAUAGCCUCUGUGCUAAGAAAGUAUGCAAAUUCGUGAAGUGUGCCAUCUUUUU
This is a small nuclear RNA of Chiloscyllium plagiosum (whitespotted bambooshark), 107 nucleotides long. Lineage: Eukaryota; Metazoa; Chordata; Chondrichthyes; Orectolobiformes; Hemiscylliidae. The record is from RefSeq and is a predicted model, not a curated record.